This 493-nucleotide ribosomal RNA is filed under the name uncultured Actinomycetes bacterium. Its description in RNAcentral is "bacterial SSU rRNA". It matches the Rfam family "Bacterial small subunit ribosomal RNA", at positions 74 to 583 of the family's 1533-position model. The record is from RNAcentral. Lineage: Bacteria; Bacillati; Actinomycetota; Actinomycetes.
GCACCUUCGGGUGUGAAUUAGCGGCGAACGGGUGAGGAACACGUGAGAAAUCUGCCUUCAACACUGGGAUAACUCCGGGAAACCGGGGCUAAUACCGGAUAUGAAAUCUGCGGGCAUCCGCGGAUUUGGAAAGUUUUUCGGUAGAAGAUGAUCUCGCGGCCUAUCAGCUUGUUGGUGAGGUAAUGGCUCACCAAGGCGACGACGGGUAGCCGGCCUGAGAGGGCGACCGGCCACACUGGGACUGAGACACGGCCCAGACUCCUACGGGAGGCAGCAGUGGGGAAUAUUGGGCAAUGGAGGAAACUCUGACCCAGCGACGCCGCGUGCGGGAUGAAGGCCUUCGGGUUGUAAACCGCUUUCAGCAGGGAAGAAGCGAAAGUGACGGUACCUGCAGAAGAAGCACCGGCUAACUAUGUGCCAGCAGCCGCGGUAAUACAUAGGGUGCAAGCGUUGUCCGGAAUUAUUGGGCGUAAAGAGCUCGUAGGUGGUUCGU